Long non-coding RNA from Metopolophium dirhodum (rose-grain aphid), 1250 nucleotides. RefSeq lists it as uncharacterized. The transcript is spliced from 6 exons. NCBI's taxonomy places the organism in Eukaryota, Metazoa, Arthropoda, Insecta, Hemiptera, Aphididae. The record is from RefSeq and is a predicted model, not a curated record.
UAAAUACAUAAUAAUAUUAUUUUUUGUUUGCCCACGUUUGAAUCACUUGCAAAUCGCAAUUAUUUGAAAUUUGAACAGAAAUACAGACUACAGUCGUACAAAGUUCUAUUGAUACAUUUUAGUACAAAAUCACCAUGGAUAUAGUAAAGUAUACAAAUUAUCGCCUCGCCACAUUACGUUAAUUUUCAUUUAUUUUCAAAAAAUCAACGAAAUAGAAGGAAAUAAUGGCUAAAAAUCUUUGAAUUAAAAGAUUAUCCCAAUUUCUACCCGACAUAGAAUCUGCGGUAGUCAUUUGACAAUCAGUGAUUGUAAACAAUGUUCAGUAAAUUAGUAAACAUGGUCAGAGGCUGUCACAAAACAUAAUCCAAACCACUUGUUUGGGAUAGAGAAGUAAAAUGAAUUUUAGUCAUUUACGGCAACAUUGGUACUACUCUGAGCACGACUAGGAAAUCGCAUCUAAGAGCUUGACGUUUUCAGAAAACUUUGGUUCUCCAACUAUGAGUUAGCAGAUAAUGAACAGCGAAUAAAAGAUUUGGAGGCCUCACAGUUGAUGAUUUUAAAUUGCCUGGAAAAGUCUUAGAUACCUAAUAAUGUCCAAUUCACACACAUUUAUUUUAUACAGUGGAUUAUACAUUUUAUGGUUUUCAAAAUUGAAUUAUAUAACUAAGAAGUGGAGCCAAUGUAUUGACACUUUUUCAGAUGUUGACGUUCUUGAAGAUAAUCCUGCCGGCUCUGAUUAAGCUAUACAAUAUUGGAGUAAAUUAUGAAACUUAAAGGUAAUACAAUUUUGCUGAGCAAGAAUCAAAUGUUAUCAAAUAACACAGAGGGCCUGAACAUAAUAUUUAAAUUGCGAAGAAACACAUAGCUCGUUUGGACUUUGAAGUCUAAGGAUACUAGUAUCUUUUCUGAAGGGAAGUGAAUCUAGUUUGAUGACAGGUUUACUGGUCGUCAAACCCUUUCCCAUUCAUGGAACUUACUUCUCAACAAGGAAAGACAAACUUCUUUGACAGAAGAGUAAGCGAACACCAAUUACCACUCUGAAUCAUGUUUGUGAAUACAAUUUUUUGUCAAUGACUUAUUUAUAAUCAUAAGAAAACUUUAUUUUAUUAAAAAAAAUUUUUAAAUCUUUAUUUAUUAUACUAUCAUAGUGUUUGACAUAUUUAUAGUUAAAUUGUAAUUUAAAAUUUAGAACUCUAUGACUUAUGUGUUGUAAUUUAUUGCUAUACUUGUAGCAGAUUUUUGUACAUACA